Molecule: long non-coding RNA, 409 nt
Organism: Leptopilina heterotoma
Lineage: Eukaryota; Metazoa; Arthropoda; Insecta; Hymenoptera; Figitidae
Exons: 3
Source: RefSeq, a predicted model, not a curated record
CGAUUGUUUUCAAGUUGUCGCUCAUUUCAUCACUUGUUUUCAUUCUAAAAAGUGAAGAUUAAAAUAGAAAAAAGUAAAAAAGAAAAGUAAAAUAAGUUUAGAAAAGUAAACAAAGUAAUUGGAAAACGGAUAAAGUAUCAAAAGAAGGAUGACCAUAAUUUCUGAAUCAACAAAAAUUUGGAAGGUUUUGCCUUUUUCUGCUGGUCCUUGGCCUAUUGUGAAUUAUUUCAAUAUUCGACAACGAAAUCAAUUCGGAAUUAAAUGAACAACAAAAAUUGCAAAUGGAAGAUGACUUACUCGUGAGCAUUGAUUGCGACAACAACAGGAACACCGUGUUUACAUCCAUUGCUAAUGUGCUUUUGAAGAUUUGGAAUUCCUUUUUGUAACAAAUCGAGAUUUUCCUCGACGU